This 791-nucleotide ribosomal RNA is filed under the name uncultured archaeon. RNAcentral describes it as "bacterial SSU rRNA". It matches the Rfam family "Archaeal small subunit ribosomal RNA", at positions 85 to 879 of the family's 1478-position model. The record is from RNAcentral.
ACGGCUCAGUAACACGUAGUUAAUCUGCCCUUAGGUCUAGAAUAACCUCGGGAAACUGAGGCUAAUACUGGAUAGGGGAAAAGUUCUGGAACGAACUUUCCCUUAAAGAUUACGCCUAAGGAUGAGACUGCGGAUGAUUAGCUUGUUGGUGGGGUAAAAGCCUACCAAGGCGAUGAUCAUUACGGGCUCUUAGCGGAGUUGCCCGGAGAAGGAAUCUGAGACACUAUUCCUAGCUCUACGGAGUGCAGCAGUCGCGAAUCAUUUACAAUGCACGAAAGUGUGAUAAUGCGAACCAAAGUGUUUUUCGUAUAGAAAAACUUUUUCUUAAUGUAAAAAUUUAGGAGAAUAAGGACUGGGAAAGACUGGUGCCAGCCGCCGCGGUAAUACCAGCAGUUCAAGUCGCAUCCCUUUUUAUUGGGUCUAAAACAUCCGUAGCUUGCCGUAUAAGUCUCUUGUGAAAUCCCACGUCUCAAGCGUGGGGCUUGCAGGAGAUACUGUGCGGCUAGAGAUCGGUAGACGUAAGCAGUACGCCGGAGGUAAUGGUAAAAUAUGUUAAUCUUCGGUGGACUAACAAUGAGCGAAGGCAGCUUACGAGGACGAAUCUGACAGUCAGGGAUGAAGGCCAGGGGCGCAAAACGGAUUAGAUACCCGUGUAGUCCUGGCAGUAAACACUGUUCACUAAACAUCGGGCCCUCUUCGGGAGGAUUCGGUGCUGAAGCGAAGGCGAAGAGUGAACUACCUGGGAAGUAUAGUCGCAAGAUCGAAACUUAAAGGAAUUGGCGGGGGAGCAC